Molecule: ribosomal RNA, 581 nt
Filed under: Papiliotrema laurentii
Lineage: Eukaryota; Fungi; Basidiomycota; Tremellomycetes; Tremellales; Rhynchogastremaceae
Description: partial large subunit ribosomal RNA
Rfam family: Eukaryotic large subunit ribosomal RNA
Source: RNAcentral
AAACUAACAAGGAUUCCCCUAGUAACGGCGAGUGAACCGGGAAGAGCUCAAAUUUGAAAUCUGGCGUCCUCAGGGCGUCCGAGUUGUAAUCUAUAGAGGCGUUUUCCGUGCCGGACCGUGUCCAAGUUCCUUGGAACAGGAUAUCAAAGAGGGUGACAAUCCCGUACUUGACACGACGACCGGUGCUCUGUGAUACGUCUUCUACGAGUCGAGUUGUUUGGGAAUGCAGCUCAAAAUGGGUGGUGAGUUCCAUCUAAAGCUAAAUAUUGGCGAGAGACCGAUAGCGAACAAGUACCGUGAGGGAAAGAUGAAAAGCACUUUGGAAAGAGAGUUAAACAGUACGUGAAAUUGUUGAAAGGGAAACGAUUGAAGUCAGUCGUGACCGAGAGGCUCAGCCGGUUCUGCCGGUGUAUUCCCCUCGGUCGGGUCAACAUCAGUUUUGUCCGGUGGAUAAGGGCGGUAGGAAGGUGGCACCCUCGGGUGUGUUAUAGCCUGCCGUCGCAUACAUCGGGUGAGACUGAGGAACGCAGCUCGCCUUUAUGGCCGGGGUUCGCCCACGUCCGAGCUUAGGAUGUUGACAU